This 429-nucleotide ribosomal RNA is filed under the name Bacteroidota bacterium. RNAcentral describes it as "Bacteroidetes bacterium partial 16S ribosomal RNA". It matches the Rfam family "Bacterial small subunit ribosomal RNA", at positions 355 to 776 of the family's 1533-position model. The record is from RNAcentral. Lineage: Bacteria; Pseudomonadati; Bacteroidota.
UAGGGAAUCUUCGGCAAUGGGGGGAACCCUGACCGAGCAACGCCGCGUGAGUGAAGAAGGUUUUCGGAUCGUAAAGCUCUGUUGUUAAGGAAGAACGAGUGUGAGAAUGGAAAGUUCAUGCUGUGACGGUACUUAACCAGAAAGGGACGGCUAACUACGUGCCAGCAGCCGCGGUAAUACGUAGGUCCCGAGCGUUGUCCGGAUUUAUUGGGCGUAAAGCGAGCGCAGGCGGUUAGAAAAGUCUGAAGUGAAAGGCAGUGGCUCAACCAUUGUAGGCUUUGGAAACUGUUUAACUUGGGUGCAGAAGGGGAGCAUGUAAUUCCAUGUGUAGCGGUGAAAUGCGUAGAUAUAUGGAGGAACACCGGUGGCGAAAGCGGCUCUCUGGUCUGUAACUGACGCUGAGGCUCGAAAGCGUGGGGAGCGAACAGG